CUCCUUACACGAGAAAACACCGGCCGCGGCUGCUGCAUCUCAUCCCACACAUCCUCGACACCUCUCCCGUAGAUCGAACUCGCGUGACUCUUCCUCUCCUCUCCCCCACGGACGACCAUGGCAGGGCGCCGCCGCUGGCCACCAGGCCAGGCCAAGCCGCUGGUAGUCCAAGCUCGACUUUCUCCCCUAGGUGCAACUUCAUCUCCUCCUCUCUCGUCCCUUCCCCAGCGCGCCUUCCCAUGUUCGAAACCCUAGCUACGGCCACCGGCGACACAGCAACAAUGGCUGCUAUGGUGGCGCUCCGACCAAGGACGAGGCGGGGCGACACCUUCAUGGCCUUGGAGGACGCAGGCUCUGCCACUCGCGACUUCGACUCCGCUCCCUUCCUUGCCCCAUCGCGACCUCGACAUCGGCGCGCUCCGCCUGUAGGCGCUCCUGUUUGGUGUCAUGGCGACCGACGGAGAUUGAAUCGCCGGAGGCGUGCUCAUCCGGGGAGGUGUCUCCUGAAUCGGCGGCGGCGGAGGCGCGCCCAUCUAAGCCGGUGGCGCUACAGGUGCUCGUCGACCUUGUGCGUGCCGGGGACAUGGACGUCGCCCGCAAGGUGCGCUGCCUCACCCGGACCUCCGCGAGGCACAGGACAUUGUUGACCAUAUUGCGAUGUCUUGUUGUCUAAUAGGGGCAUGGAUUAUACUUAGAUCAGCAUCAAGAAGGACGAGCAGAAGAUAAUAGAGACAUCAAACAAGAUUAAAACCUCGGUGGUAUCUCAACAUUGCGAUAAUUUGAUUGUGCAUUUGAGGAUAUAUGUGUUGCUUACUUAUUAUAUUUAAACUCUGGAAACAGACAAUUGACUGUCAGUUAUGAGCAGCUUUUACCAAUUGUGAGCCCAGUUUUUUCUUUUGCUUCUCUCCGGUGCAUGCAACACAGAACCAUCUUUAAUCCCUAUAUGAUCUACUAAUAAAUCCCUCUAUCAAAGACUGAUGCUUAUAUGACGAAGUCUUUAACCGUCAAACAUAUUUUUCAAGAUAGUUAUGGCUAAUGCUUCUUCUGUUCAGAUGAAGCAAUUCACUGCUGCUACCAACUGAUGCUAGCUGCUCUUCCCAUUGAGAUUGCAAGUAUUGAAGUACUCGACACGUCAAGCUUCUGUGACAUUCAUAUAGCACCAAUUUUGGUUCUAAUGGUGCUCAUCGAUAUCAGCCCACUCAAGGAUGCAGGGAUGUCGUCACGCCUGAUCUUAAGGAGUCAUGCUAUCUGUUCCUCAUCGGCUAUGACUUCACAGUGAUGGAUUCAUGUACUGGAGAUCACACUGCCCAUAGGCUAUCCUGAAAGUCCUUCAAUCUCUGUGGACAUACCAUUAUAUCUCCUAAAAAUAAAGUGGUAAAAAACAUCAAGAGUGAACUCCUCCAGCAGUGGGAUCAAGGUCAUGGACAAAGCACAUCCAUAGUUGCAGGAUUAGGUCCCCAUCCUGAUUUGGAGCAUUGGAGUGGAUGAAGUCUUUUGCAUCGAACCAUCUUCCUUCUACUAAUUAUAAUAUAUAAAUAUGCUUCUGGCUAUACUGGGUUAGACUGCUGCCCUAAGUCAUGUAUUAUGUGGAAGCACCGUGUCUUAUACACAUGUGCUCAUCUAUAUUUCAGCUUUCAUUUACUUGUAGCUGAACCAUCUGCCAUUUGGAUGUCUUCAAUUAUUUAUAGUGACUGACCAAAAUAAUCUCAUGUCUGGCUUUCAUUCAUGGAUGGACUUUGUUGCCAGCAGCAACCCCAAACAAAACAUGUACGACCUUGGUUCUGAAAGUAGGGAACAAAACAUAU
Molecule: long non-coding RNA, 1805 nt
Organism: Sorghum bicolor (sorghum)
Lineage: Eukaryota; Viridiplantae; Streptophyta; Magnoliopsida; Poales; Poaceae
Exons: 6
Source: RefSeq, a predicted model, not a curated record